UGAUUUUUGAAUUAAUAAUAAAUAUAUUAUGCUACGUUCCAAAUGAAAACAUUUAGGCAACUGUUUCAAAUAUGUUGGGUAUUUUAUUUCGAAAAGUUAUCUAGGAUGACAUGGAUAAGCAGCGCAUGCAGUGAAUACAGCAAAGCACCUUUUACGUUUGAUUAAAAUUGUCUUCAUAGUCACUGAGAAGGGAAGCAUUUUUACAUAGUUGUAUAUUUUUACACAAGGUGUAAAGGAAUAUUUAUUGUUAGAUAAAGGCAACAGUAGUAUACUACUGUUCAAAAAUCAUAAAUCGAUUGAGAGAAAACAAAUUCGGAUGACAAUCUAAAACCGAGGGAAACACAUCAACUACAAGAGAAAAAAUAAAGGAACAACAGAAACACUGAAGUGCAACAAAAAAAAAGUGCAAACGACAGGACAUUUAAAGAAAAAACAUGGUGGGUUGAAUCAGGAUUAAUGGUUAGCUAAAUAAACUGCGUAUAUAGCAAUAUUAAAAAAAACAUCGCUAAAAUGACAACAUUACAUGACAGAAAUACAGCACAAACAAAACAUGACAAACACAAGAACACACUCAUUUCUGUGAAACGAACAAAUGAGUAACAUAAAAGUCGCUACUACAUGUAACCACAGAAUAAUAGCAGUAAGGUCCCUUUUCGAUAUAUACAUUGUAUCGUUGUUGUUUUCUUUUUGAUGAUUUGAGCAUUCCGUUUAAAGAUAAAGACGAUUUUUGGUUUAUUUUGGUUUAUUUUUGUUUUGUUUGGUUUUUUUUUUGAUUUGAGAAGGGUAAUACAAUGCUGAUACAGAGCAUGAAUUGAAAAUACGUGUGAUUUUGUUUAUACCAUGACCAUUUUUAAUCUGAGAAUUUUUUAACAAAGAUGCAGCUUAUAUUAAUAGAACACCAAAUGUAUAUUUCAAACUAAAUGUGAAAAUAUGUUACCCGUGCUAACGUUCUAAAUUGUGACCAAAACAAUUAUUAAGUGCGUCAUUAAACAUUAAACACCUGUAAUUUACAUUUAUCAAGGUCGAAUAUAUGAUACUGAUGUCGUGAUUUUAUACAAAAACAUAAUAUCACUUUACAGCAUUAACAAUACAUUUAUAGUUCUCUUUAAAUGAACAAAAAAACAUGAAUCACCUCUAAACUUAAAAAUGUCAAAUCA
This 1157-nucleotide long non-coding RNA is filed under the name Mytilus galloprovincialis (Mediterranean mussel). Lineage: Eukaryota; Metazoa; Mollusca; Bivalvia; Mytilida; Mytilidae. The record is from RNAcentral.